CCAGAACUUUGAGGCUUUGAGAUUUGGGAAAAAAUAAUUCUCACCAGAGUUGGGGGGAGACUGUGAAGUGGGAGUGAGCUUUCUCUUUCCCCGGAAGGAAUUUUAUUUGUUGUUUUUGCGUGUUUAAAAAUUUUAGAGAAAUCGUGGUGUCACAAUAGAAUAGAUUGCGGAGGUUCUCCAUGGGAUGUGGGGGUGUGUUGGAUGGCUCAGUUGUGGGCAGAUCUUGUUAUAGUCAGACCUGGGGAUUGAACAUUGCCUGAAGAUGGCUUCAUUAGUGCCGCUUGGCAUAAAAGUGAAAGCAAAACAAGUAGGGAAAAACCGAAACCUGGGAUGCCCUGAUCUGGAAAUGUGAGCUUGGGUACAUUCCUGGUGGGCAGAUGGGGACAAGACGCAAUUAUAGUUUCAGGAAACCAGGGCUGGGCUGGGCUGGGCUUGGCAUUGGAGGAGGUCAGCAGGCCUGGGAGAUAGAUGGCAGGAGCUGGUGACCUGGCUGAUUCAUCUUUGAGUUUAGGACGUGUUAGUCAUCUGUGCAGCGAGUCGAGAGCAGACAGUCAGUGCCUUACAGGCUGGACAACAAGGCUGAGUGGGCGUUCCCACAGGGGCUGAGCUUCACGGGAGGAAGGGGGAAGUGCAUGGUGGGAUGAGCAGCAAGAACAGCUGUUAGUAAAGGGGAACCUGAGGAAAGGGAAAGUGGGCCCAGGGAACGGCAUCAUUAGCCUUCUGCUUCAGGAGUUGUUCUCAGCUGAGAACCCACUGCUAAGAAGACCUCCGCUCGUUCACUCAAUAAGAUCACCAUGGAAACAUGCUUCUGGGUCUGAUCAUGAGAGUGUUUCCAGAAAGGUUAAAUGGAAGAGAAACAGCCCACCUUGAAUAUGAGAAGGAUCAUCCCAUUGACUGGGGUCUCAGAGUGAGUCAAAUGGAGAAAGUGCCCUGAGUACUAGCAUUCAUCUUUCUCUGUUACCUGACUAUGGAUGUAACAUGACCAACCACCUCACACACUGACAGCCAUGCUAUCCCCACCAGGAUAGACUGUAUUGCCUAAACUAUAAGCCACAAUAAACCGUUCCCAACUUAA
Molecule: non-coding RNA, 1075 nt
Organism: Rattus norvegicus (Norway rat)
Lineage: Eukaryota; Metazoa; Chordata; Mammalia; Rodentia; Muridae
Source: RefSeq, a predicted model, not a curated record